This 505-nucleotide ribosomal RNA is filed under the name uncultured bacterium. RNAcentral's name for it is "partial 16S ribosomal RNA". It matches the Rfam family "Bacterial small subunit ribosomal RNA", at positions 28 to 507 of the family's 1533-position model. The record is from RNAcentral.
GACGAACGCUGGCGGCGUGCCUAAUACAUGCAAGUCGAACGCACAGUUUAUACCGUAGCUUGCUACACCAUAGACUGUGAGUUGCGAACGGGUGAGUAACGCGUAGGUAACCUGCCUGGUAGCGGGGGAUAACUAUUGGAAACGAUAGCUAAUACCGCAUAAUAUUGAUUAUUGCAUGAUAAUUAAUUGAAAGGUGCAAUUGCACCACUACCAGAUGGACCUGCGUUGUAUUAGCUAGGAGGUGAGGUAACGGCUCACCUAGGCGACGAUACAUAGCCGACCUGAGAGGGUGAUCGGCCACACUGGGACUGAGACACGGCCCAGACUCCUACGGGAGGCAGCAGUAGGGAAUCUUCGGCAAUGGACGAAAGUCUGACCGAGCAACGCCGCGUGAGUGAAGAAGGUUUUCGGAUCGUAAAGCUCUGUUGUAAGAGAAGAACGGGUGUGAGAGUGGAAAGUUCACACUGUGACGGUAUCUUACCAGAAAGGGACGGCUAACUACGUG